This 376-nucleotide unclassified non-coding RNA is filed under the name fungal sp. RNAcentral describes it as "partial internal transcribed spacer region". The stretch from base 1 to 46 matches the Rfam family "Eukaryotic small subunit ribosomal RNA", at positions 1786 to 1831 of the family's 1831-position model. Lineage: Eukaryota; Fungi. The record is from RNAcentral.
AAGUCGUAACAAGGUUUCCGUAGGUGAACCUGCGGAAGGAUCAUUAACACGUAUCCAACGUUAAACCCCCCGUGAACCUUCAGUGCGCUCGCACUUUCUUAGAAAAGGUAGCAAUCCCUGGUAAAUCAUUGCCGAACAGUUUUGAUUCAGGGACUUCUGCGUAGACUGUGCUUGAGCGUGAGGCAAGUGGCCUGGCAUUCCUCUGCUUGUUGGUGUCUGAAAGUGUCACCAGUCACGAUCGCUAGAGGCCGACACGGCCGGCGACCGGGUCACUGGGCGCGAGCCCCCCUCGUCACCUUUGCAUGAAAACGGGCCUGCGCUUAAUUGUGCGGCCACCAAACUCGAACAACUGUUAACAAUGGAUAUCUUGGUUCUC